CGCGGGGUGGAGCAGUUGGCAGCUCGUCGGGCUCAUAACCCGAAGGCCGGAGGUUCGAGUCCUUCCCCCGCUACCA
This 76-nucleotide transfer RNA is filed under the name Alistipes sp. RNAcentral describes it as "tRNA-Met". It matches the Rfam family "tRNA". Rfam says of the family: Transfer RNA (tRNA) molecules are approximately 80 nucleotides in length. Lineage: Bacteria; Pseudomonadati; Bacteroidota; Bacteroidia; Bacteroidales; Rikenellaceae. The record is from RNAcentral.